UACGAAGGGGGCUAGCGUUGUUCGGAAUCACUGGGCGUAAAGGGUGCGUAGGUGGGGCUUUAAGUCAGGGGUGAAAUCCCGGGGCUCAACCCCGGAACUGCCUUUGAUACUGAGGAGCUUGAGUCCGGGAGAGGUGAGUGGAACUGCGAGUGUAGAGGUGAAAUUCGUAGAUAUUCGCAAGAACACCAGUGGCGAAGGCGGCUCACUGGCCCGGUACUGACGCUGAGGUGCGAAAGCGUGGGGAGCAAACAGG
Molecule: ribosomal RNA, 253 nt
Filed under: uncultured bacterium
Lineage: Bacteria
Description: partial 16S ribosomal RNA
Rfam family: Bacterial small subunit ribosomal RNA
Source: RNAcentral